AAGAGACACAUGAUGGAGCAAAGACUGUUGUGGAAGGAACAGAAUUCUGAAGCUUGCAACACAAACUGGAAAGACAGCUCAAGUCCUUUCAGACAAUGAACAACAGUGGAGAGGACUGUCUCCACAAAAUGAGUCAGGAGGGGCAGUUUUGCCACCAGAGAAGAAUUCCUCUUCACCAGCUGUGGUAUCAUUUAACAAUGACAGCUCUCYGGUCUGCUUCUUAUAACUUCUUCACCCAGAAAUUGGCCACCUCUGCCUGYUCGCCAAAUCAGUAUGAAACAAUUUUAUCGUCUGAAAAGAAUCCUGGAUUCCUUCUGUUACCUGUUGAGCAGAUCCAGCAAAGCAGCAGCAAACUAUCAUAGCAUCCUUCUGCUGGAGAGUUCACCAGGGCAUCACACACCAGAGACUAGAGCAAAUCUCAACAUCAUCCAUGGAAUACAGCCUUCCUUCUGCUGGAGAAUGAUCUAAAAUUGUGUUUCCCUGCAAACAGGAUAGAAAACAGCAAGAUUUCUGAAAUGGUUCAGAAUAUAAACUAAGGGUGACUUCUAAUGGAUGAACCUGGGACUUGAGCCUUCAGUGAAAAGUAGUUUCACCAGAGAAGCUUUGCCUUUCCGUCUGUUCCUUGGAUUUAGAUUUCUAAUGUUUCAUUGUGUUAGUAUCAACAUACAGCGCUACGUCUGGUGUAGGCAUUAAAAUGUCUGGGUGUGCAGGUUCCAUAAUCCUACAGUUGGCUUCAUCUUUCAUAGGCUGACUGUAAUACUUGGUUUGCUAUAUUUUUAUUGUUACCACUGUAAUUGUAUUGCAAAGGCUCUUACUCCAGUUCUGGCUUGUUAAAUAAAUAGA
Molecule: long non-coding RNA, 843 nt
Organism: Dromaius novaehollandiae (emu)
Lineage: Eukaryota; Metazoa; Chordata; Aves; Casuariiformes; Dromaiidae
Source: Ensembl